CAACGGAACAAGUUACCCUAGGGAUAACAGCGCAAUCCUAUUCUAGAGUCCAUAUCGACAAUAGGGUUUACGACCUCGAUGUUGGAUCAGGACAUCCUAAUGGUGCAGCAGCUAUUAAGGGUUCGUUUGUUCAACGAUUAAAGUCCUACGUGAUCUGAGUUCAGACCGGAGUAAUCCAGGUCGGUUUCUAUCUAUUACGC
Molecule: ribosomal RNA, 200 nt
Filed under: Lentisphaerota bacterium
Lineage: Bacteria; Pseudomonadati; Lentisphaerota
Description: Lentisphaerae bacterium (invertebrate metagenome) partial 23S ribosomal RNA
Rfam family: Bacterial large subunit ribosomal RNA
Source: RNAcentral